This 37691-nucleotide long non-coding RNA is filed under the name Ananas comosus (pineapple). RNAcentral describes it as "long non-coding RNA (ACOM_LNC006192)". Lineage: Eukaryota; Viridiplantae; Streptophyta; Magnoliopsida; Poales; Bromeliaceae. The record is from RNAcentral.
AUUGAAAAAGUUAAACAAUAUAACGUGAUAAUUAGUCAGUCAAACUAGCAAUAUACAUACAUAAGUGAAAGUUUACAUUUUAAUUAAAUACAGAUGACGGUGCAAAACGGAAUUAGCAACUGCUUUAUCAAUUCAAUUAAAAAAGUUAAGCUGAGUUUUAAUUGAGUUAUCUGAUUAAAAUAAAAAAACCAACAACUGUAUUAUAACUGACGUAAGUGAUUCUUGUGAAGCUACGAUAAUCUCACUUACAUUUGUAAGAGUUAAACAACAACAAUCAUUCAAAAUAACUUAGCGCGAUAGCAAAAGUAGGUGGAAAUGUAUAUUUGCGAAAAUCAGCAUCAUAUCUUCUUCAGAAGAACAAAACAUAUACACACGCAAUCGAGACGCCCAUACUACAUUGGAUGCAUGAGAAGAGUAAAGCUUUGAGUAGUGAGCAUCACUAUUCUGCUGCACGAAUCUCAGCAUGCUGAGCUACAACUGUUGAAACUUCGCAUCUUGUGAAAUGUCAUCCGCAAACGAUCAAAUCCCGCUUUAUACAAAGUAAAUACGGCGUGCGUUGUGCUCUACAGGCAUCUUAAAAAGAAAAUUCUAGUAUGUCAGUGCGUACUUCGCCUCAGCGGUGUUUACUGAGUCAACAGGGGACUCCGCAAUCAAGGGUCCAAAGCUAAAAGGAGUGUCAAUGGGCCACAGUAUACUGGGCUGUGAACCUGGCUUAGCCCAUUAAAACAAUACACAUGUGGGUCCAUUACUGGCCCAAACUAAGUAAUGGGUUACUUCUCGGGCCGAGCCACGUCAAAUUCAGGGCCCAAUAUUACUCACUACAUUUCAUACAUGAAGAACACAUGCAUUGACUGAUAGAGAUGUAAAUUCAACAGAGAUGUUUAAAAGAGGCAUCUGAGGUUCAUGUUGAAUUAUCUUUACAUUGUUGACAUGUCCCUUUUGUAAACUGAUCAAAUCAAACACAUGUAUGCGAAUGUACAUGCCCGAAUGACCGAUGCUACGAGGACAAAAUUGGGGAUGACUUGUUUACAGUCGAUCGCUAUUUGAAGCUUCUCGAUGUUUUUUCAAUGAAUAAUUCGGAGAAAAAAAAAGUUCUAUACAUAAACAAUAUGUAUGAUACACAUCCCUGGCAUACUCUACCCUUAAGCUGAUAAGGCUAUCUCACAAUUUAAUUUGCUCCUUUAGUUUGGCCUCCUUUUGCUUUACCUACAAAACGAACAAGUUCAUUUAGAAUAUAUAGAACACGAAGAUCAAGAUAGUAAGUAUGCGUAAAGACAACUUCGCAAAUGAGAAAAGUUGCAAACAUCAUCGCCGAUUAAUGUAACAAUCAAUAUUAUAUCUUGAAAAAUUUGACUAACUAAACAGAAGAAUUGUAGUAGCACGAAAGUUUGUAUUUAAAAGAGAAAUAAAUACACAGUCGAUCGCGACAGAGAAAUCUAGUUAAAAUCAGUAAUAAGAGUAAGGGGUGAACAUCAAGUAGUUGAAUUUCUCUAACAACGCGUAUUAAUAUAUCUUAUCCCAAUUGAUUAAAUUAGUAAUUGUAGUCAGCUUGAUGAGCAAAUAUAUUGCUAUUUUAACAUUGUAGUUCAUGUAGGUAUCAAAAGAGGGCAAAGUAUAAAACUUAAUUGAUUCACAUGUAGACCAAAUUUGGUGUUCUUGAUGUAGUUUCCCAACUCUGUAGACCCUAGACCCAACAGCUAUUUUGAUAGAAGCAAGCAGGAAAAGAAAGAAUUUAGAUGUGUUAUGAUUUGAUUUGCCCAAACAUUAUAUAAUGGCCCAUGAACAUCUAUAAUAAUAAUAAAAUAACAACUAUAAUAAUAACUCCAUGGAAUAAAUGCACUUGCCCUAGUAUUGUAGGAAGCACAUUUAAUCAUUGCAUUUCAAUAACUAAGCUAAAAGCUUUGGUUACAGAGUAUAUAUUCACUGGUAGAUAAAUUUAUUUCACAAAUCAAUUCGUACAUCUUAAUAACUUGACAACUGGGCUUGUGUGUAAUAAUUUGACAACCGGGCAUGGAAGAGCAUCAGGCUUAAAAAGGAGGAGACUAAUUAUUUUAUUUGGCUAUUUUAGGGAAAAGAAAUUUAUUAAUUGGACACCAAAAAAAUAGAGUAAGGCUACUAUGCUAUCGGAAGCACGGAGCCGUCCGUGCUUCCAGCUCGUUUUCGAUGUUGCGACUUUCGAAUCGUCGAUCGGCUCCGUUAAACUUGAUCUAGAGUAUUUGAAGUAUCUAGAAAAUAAAUUAUGCGAUUUUUCGAUAUUAUUUACCUAGUGAACCAAGAGGCUCAAAAUCAACGGCUGAAAAUAAAAAUCUUACAAAACGUGAUAAUAUGACAUUAAAAUUUUAGAUCAAAGGUAUUGAUCUUGUUUUAUAUAGUAUAAAGAAUUUUCUAUCAAAAUUUCAGACGAUUUGGAUAUUUCUACACCGUUAAACUUGCAAACGGCUCACUACGGCCAUUAAAAUUAUUGAUUUUGAGCCCCUUCGAUCCCUAGGCAAAUGAUAUCGAAAAAUCAUAAAAUUUAUUUUCUAGGUACUUCAAAUACUCUAGAUCAAGUUUAACGGAGUCGAUCGACGGUUCAAAAUUCGCAACAUCGAAAACGAGCUGGAAGCACGGAAGGCUCCGUGCUUUCGAUAGCAUAGUAGCCUUACUCAAAAAAAAAUUACACUUAACAAAAAAAAGGACACCAAAAGGUAAAGUAGUGUUCGUUAUAAUCGAUCAAAUCAUCUUAGAAGUUCCGUAGAAAACAAGAAGCAUAAAAUAAAAAUAAAAAAAGGGGUCAUCUAGCUGCAAGUUCAUGGGAAACUGCCAAAUUAUUUAGAGGUAGAUUUUGUGUUUAUGAUUCAUAUGUUUAACUAAAUUUAUUUUACAAAAAAAUAAAUAAAGUGAAUAGCAUGCUAUAUUUUUUUAGAAAAAAAUUGUGUUUGAGCCAUAACCUAGUUACUGUAAAUAAUUAUUUUUUAAAAAAUGAUUUCUUAACAUUUUUUUAUCCCUCCUCUUAACAAGUCUAAAUAUGCUUUUAAUCUAAUUACAAAGCUGCUGCUCUGGUGAUCAAGCAGGCAUGUGCACACAAGAUGUUCGACAAAAAAUCAAGAGUGGGUAGAGGUAGGGAAUCAGACUCACCGCUUCGAUGUCGAUUCUAUACACGAGCAACUUGCGCCGCUCCCUACAGCUAGUUCGAUACGCCACCGCGACGUGAGCCACCGCGAGCGCCAAAGAGCUCAGAAACAACGCUUCGACGGCCAACGCUCCGUCCUUACCCUCAGUCGUAACACGCUUAGCCCCUCCGACGGAGCUCACCCCGAAUGCGCAAACAGCCUUGAUCGAAACAUAUCCGAUCGACGCGGCACUACAUAUUGCCGUGAUCGCUAAAUACGCACCUCGGCCACCACAUAAAGCAUAGGCACCUGCAAUUAGUCAGCAUAGUUAAGUUUCAAAAGAAAAGCCCCUGUUGUAAACAUGACAAAUUUUCCUAUCCGAGUAACAAUGAAACGCUAAUGCAUGGAAACAUACGCCGUACAGCAAAAGUAGGAGUAACCGGAAACUGAAUCAUUUAUUUAUUAAUCUUGCGAAAAUAUUCUUACAGAGAACGAGAAGAGCUCUGGCGGCCGACACGGCGGGCAAGUCGACCAGCGAAGACCGGAAGUCGAAACUCGCGAAGAGCUGAUCAUACAGAGAGGGCGGCGGAGAAGCAGCAGCGUAGACGGGACCGCUCCGGAGAGCGGCGGAGAGAAGCGCCGGGGGGAGAAGCAGGUCGAGCCCGACGACGAGAAGCGGCGGCGCGCACACGAGGAGGAGAGAAGCCAGCAUGGUGAAAACGAAAAAGAUGGUCUUCAGCAAUCGCCACGGCCGCGUCCAAAACGGCUCCUUGUGGGAGCCCAAAAGCAGCUUCUUCUCCAUGGGUUUCUGCGGGCGUGGUGCGCGCGCAAGAGCUCUUCUCCUUCUAAAUGGAUCGAUGAGUGUACGUGUACAAGAGAAAUAGGGAGAGGGACAAACAAGCAGAGGAGGGGGAGCCGCGUGAGUUGCGAGGGAAAAAGAGAAGCAACGUUUGACUCUGAAACCGCCCCCCACUUUAAAUUCCGUGUCGUCGCACGGCAGCUUCGUCUUUCAGAAGCCCCCGAAGCUUCUGCUGCAUUUUUUUUUUUUAAAUUCUUUUUUUUUUUUUUGAUUUUUGUUUGUUUUGAGGUCUUUAUUUAGCGAGCUAAGGAAGGGAACAAAGGUGUUGGGUGUAGAACAUGGAAUACGCGGAGAAUCCAAUUGAAAAGCAGGGAAUGGUACCUUAUAUAUAUGCCCACGUGGAUACCACAUGGUUUGAUAUUCGCUUACACUGGGUACGUAGAUGCCCAUCACCUGCGCCCGUUAACUCGAGUUCAAUUUCUGCUUUCAAGCAUGCGUGCGUAGUUGUGUAGCCGUUGUUAUACUUAACAAAUAUAUUACGCAUCAGUUUAAAAUCAUACAUAAAUUUGCUAAUAUAUUAAUAAUUUAUAUAUCGGUUAAUUUUAUAUUAUAACUUGUUGCAUCAAGUAUUUUGAGAUGGUAGAUUAUCCUAAUUUCACACGCUCUCUCUAUAUAAACACAAAAACCCCAGGUCAAAAAGAUCACACGAUGGGGUUGUAUCAACUGCUGUAAACUCUUUUCAACGGUAAACGGCAAUAGAUUACUUUUUUAAUUAAAUUUUAUAGAUCCCCAGAACGGAGGGAAUUCUCCUGACUAGUCAUAUGCUUUGAGUCUUCUGCGGUUCAAAGCAGUCCAUGUGGACGAUGGGGGGCCUCCAAAUCGGACUUACCUUUAUGUUCAAUUGGACGAGAAAUUAUUGUGCGGCUGCUGCAGUUGAAUCGCAGUUGAAUCGCAUCAUCCGUUGGAUUAAAAUUCAGCGUUCAUACUGAUAGUUUCUAGCGCAAAAGAUAACAAAAAUCUAAAAAAUACAAAGCAUGUCGUUUAAAAAAAGAAAUCAACGUAUCGUCUUUCGUAAUGGUUUUCUUGUAUUUUUUUUUUCAUGUCUUUUUUAUGUGCCAAAUACUUGUUUCAAUCAUUGGAGAAAGAACUCGUUUUGCAGCGUGAAUGAAUUUUCAUGAGGUUAAUAUUUUUCUGUGUUGGGAUCUCAAGGAAAAUUUUCGGAAAAAUCCCGUAUUUUGAUUGUCGAUUGCAAACAUUGAUCUUGCAGCUGUGCUAUUUUAGCAUUAGAAAAAAAAGGGUUGAUGUGGCAAUCGAAUUUGAAACAUUGAUCUGGGACUAUUAUUCAUUCCUCAUGCAAUAUGUAAUUAAGAAGGAAAAUUGAUUAGAAAUUGACAACCCGUUAUUCUAGAUAACACCCCACCCAACCUACAUAUCUCGAAUUAUAGUUUUAAGAAGGAUAGAUUUUUAUUUCUAUUCACUAUCUAAGUAAUCUCUAUUAUAGAAAAAAAAAAUUAAGCCGUGCUAACACGUAACACAUAACACAAUUUUCCUGAACAAGGGCGAAAUUGUGACAUGUAACAUGGCUACAAAUCCGGUAUGUGAGAGAGGAGGUGAAGUAGGCAUAAAUAAUAUUUUAGCCAUAAACUUCGAUGCCAAGGGAAUAAGCUAGAUGAGAACAAAUAUGUAUGACCAUCUUAUAAUAUACAAGUCAUCUUUGACUAUAAUAAACUUUAUAGUAUUAUUCAUUGAGCCUUAUUCUCGAAGAAAACUCUUAUCCUUUUGAAAAUUCUUAAUUACGAGAAUCUUAGCAUAUGAAACUCUUCAUUAUGUGGGAUUACAGUAUCAUCCCAUUUGGAGCUCCGGAUAAUGCUAUUCUCAUAUAGUGUGUGUAGAUCGACAUGUGGCGGAGAAGUAAUCAAACAUAUCACAGGGAAUUUAUGCAAGGUCUUCGUGUUCAAGUUUAGUUUGCCACAGUUGCCACAUGGAUUUUAUGUAUCUUAUGUGGCUUAAGAACCUCUAGAGAGGUAGGUAGGUAGUUAGUAAUGCUAAAUUAAGGGGUAGAAAAUCAAUCUUAUUCUACAUGCCACCCAAGCACAUGUCAUUAAGAGAGCCUCUGAUCAUGACUAAGCAGAAAUUGAGUAUCUGACAAGCUAAAAUUUACAGCUCAGAGGCUUUGGUAGGUACACAGACUAAAUCCGAGACAUUUCCUAUCAGACCCGUGGUUACAAGCUUAAUACCAUCAUUUAUUUUGGAAUUUUCACUGAUUAGACCUAUUAAUUAUGUAUCACUCAGUUGAUAACAAACGCUGGGGUCGUCUUAAUUGUUUGUAUUAUUUUCAACUGAAAUUCUCAACCAUAUCCAGUCAUAGACAAUACAUAACAGUAGAACGUAACUUGUAUAUUACACUUACACCCUAGUUAAAUAUAGGACGAGAAAGAACCCAUCGAUUUUUAAUGCGUCACAUGCUUCUUUGACGAUCACAAUGAUAUCAUGCGUGACACAAAAUGAGAAAUUUUGGCUCGUGCAAUCGCCAUUUGGAAAAAAUUCGAAAGUAGAAACGACCCCGCUGUUGAUGCAUCAGAUCAGAGAAUUUAUGAGCUCCAUGUAUGAUGUAUCACCAUUGAUAAUUUUACAACAUCGUUGUAAAACUUAUUUAUAAGACGAGCAUUACUCCUCAACCAGAAGCCCAAUGUUGUAGAAAUUUGAUUAUGUCCAUUUCACCCAACGUUUCUCUUUUCAACUACCCCCCCCCCCAAAUGAAAUUCAGUUUCCAUCCAGAUUCUGUGUUCCCAACUUAUGUUUGACCUGCAGAAACUUGUACAAAAACAACAACAACAACAACCCAGGAAAACAAUACAAAGUCCCAUCAGAGAAUGAAACAAUACGCCACCCAUGUUCAUAUUGGGGUAUUCAAACACAUAUUCAAGAAGAAUUUUGAGUCAACAUAGCAAAUUUAUCCCUCUACACUUAUAUUAACAUAUACGCCCCUUUAGGCAUCAAUUGACAGUUAUUUACCUCAUAACUGUUGUAUCUUUGGUACUAUUUCCCACCAAAAUAAAAUUUAUCAUCUAAAUAGAUAAUAGCCACUCUGAAACCUUAAUUAAAACCAAUUAUAGCUCUUCAUGUUAAGAAUUUAUAAAAUUUCGAGUACAGGGGGAUAAAUAUGGUUCUUGAGGAAGCACUUAACGGCGUUUGGGGAUUUACCAAAUGAUCAAUAGUAAAGGAGCUUUUGGGAAAAGCUUGUUGGUUCAGUUCCUAUUGCCAACUGCAUAAGCUAUCUUUAUUGGCCUGCCAUGCAGCGCAACCUGGUCUUUCUUCAUAGCUCUCUCCAGUGACUCAUCAUCCUCGAAAUCUACAUGACAGAAGCCCCUGAAAUUACCCGUCUUCUUAUCAAAGGCAAAUCUUAUAGAAGCAAUCUUAGAUUCUUCAAAGAAGCCCCUUAUAUCGUCUUCUGUCACAUCCCAUGAGAGAUUCCCGACAUAUGCCGAGCAGCAGCCGUCGACCUUCUCGGGUUCGCUAAUGAACUCUCUCCUCCUUUUCCUCGUGGAAUCGAGUCUGCAACGCUCGACCCUUAUGAAUCUGUUACCCCUGAAGCCCAAUGAACAUAGGUCAGCAUAGAAAGUUUCGACAAGUUAGGUGGAAACAGGAAAAAAUCUGCAGAAAAAUCCUCACAUUUUGAAUCCAUCAAGCUUAAGAGAACUCGUUGCAUCAUCCUCAGUCUGGCAUGAGAAGACAAAGUCAAUCGUUGAAGAGUGUUCGGAGUAGAUAAUGACAAUGGAAGAAAAUGCAGGAAGUUUUGGACCCACAGUCGGGAAUUGCUUGGUACAACCUCUACAUUCUUCUAUUCAAGGUAAAAUAUGCAAAGCAUAUGACCAGCGGAAAAAAAUUGCAGGUUUAUUUGGAGACCAGCGCAGUAAGCGCCCGAUUUUGGCUCUACAAAAGUAACAAUAAGCUUCUUCCUUCUGAGAUGUAAUUUGUCCCCUAUAAAACAACUAAGCAGGAAUCCCAUGAACAUACGUCCAGGAACCAUUUUAGUUGUGUCAUCUAAAAGUUAAGUCCACUAUUACACUAAUGACGAACUAAUUAUGAUACUAGAGUACUAGACAUCAGUUUUUUUUAGGACGUGUUUGGUCUCGGACAUAUUUUGCAAUGAUAUCCUUUAUACUUGGCUUAUAUCCUAGGGUACCAGAGAACCAAGUGUUUAUGUUUCGUUUCAAGAGAAUAGGAACAACAAAUUUUCAAGUUAACUUUCAAAGCAUAGUAAAAGAGGUAACCGGAGCAAAGAAAUAUAGGUAGCACAAGUUCAACUGCUAGGUAAAAUAGUUAAUCGGCCGAAAUUAGGCGAUGAUUUGAAUUACCCCUUCCCUUUCGGAGCCCCAUUUCAGGUGAGCUAAGCAAUUAGAGCAACAGUGGUAAUCAGCACCUUCAUGUAAUUUCUUUUUCUCUAAACGGUAGUUUCUAGGGUUUUCGAACUCAUAAUAGAGAAAGAGACGAGGAGAGGGAUUAGACCUGGAAUGUGAGGAAGGCGAGGCCGCUGAAGUUUCCCGAGUCGGGGAAGCGGGAGAGGUGGAGAUGGCGAACGGCGCCGACGCCGUCGAAGAGCUCUCGAAUCUGCUGCUCGGUGGCGGAGUAGGGCAUUCCGCUCACCACCACCUUAUUGCGCUCGUACGUAUCCUCAUCACCACCACCACCACCACUACCACCACCACCCACACCUGCUUCUUCUUCUUCUUCUUCUUCUUCUUCUUCUUCUUGUUGCUGCGGCUCAUCCCAGGAGUCGAGAACCGGUUGGCCCCAUUUAUCCUUUUUCGCCUUCUUCUUCUUCUUCUUCUUCUCCUCCUCCUUGCUCGGUUCCUUCAACAACAUCUUCUUCUUCUUCUUCCUGGAUUGGAGUUUGCUCGCGUCUUCUUCAGUGGCCAUCUCGGCGGGGGUUCCGCCGCACGGUGGAGACGUAGAGAGAGUUAGGGCAACUCGACCGGGGCGCAAGAGCGAUGCGGUCGGGUUAAGCCCUGAUUAAGAUGGGCCUCUUAGCCCAUUAGGCCCGCCUGUGUUUACACACUUUGGUUAAUUGUGCCGAUUAUGGGCCUGCGGGCCCGAACUGAAUAUUCAGCCAACAACUGUGUUCGUCAAUAUAUAUAAAUAUUUACUCUGCUUUUCGUCAAAUCUUAUAAUUUUCAUUUAACUAUAAAAAAAAAAUUACUGCAGGAGCAUUUUCUCCGGGUAGAAAACGGUUGGACAAAAGGCGCAUGAGCGGCGGGAAAACGGUGGCCCCGUGCGCGUGCGUAUGGAAUGCAUCGUCGCCCACCGCAAAACAACAACCCCAGGUUUGGGGGGUUUUGGGAGAGGUGGCCUGGCGGGCGGGCUAAAACAAGAAGCCUCCAGAUUUCCGCCCGUGUCGGGGGGCGAGAAAGGCUGCCUUUCGACGACAGCGAUGCUCCCCCUCUCCCCCUCUCCCCCUCUCCCCUAUUCUUAGACGAUUACUGUAAUGUAUACAUAUAUAGCCGGCAAUUAAAAAAUUGGAGAGAAGGAUAGAUAGAAAGAGGGGGGGGGGUGGAAUGCGGUAAUCUUUCUUCCUCUUUCUCUAUUUGGAUUCCCCUCUUUCUGCAUCGCUCAAGAUGGCUGAAGCCACCGCAGGUAAUGUGGGAGGGGUUUUUUUUUUUUUUUUUUUUUUUUUUUUUUUUUUUGUUUCGUCUGGUAACUUAAGCUUUUAAAUUAGUUCGAGCCCUCUAAUAUGAUAUUGGAGUUUGGUUCACAGAACUUCACACUUUCAUUGCGAUCUAAUUUCUUUUGAUACGUUCCUGCUUUAAAGGGUGUGUUUGUUUGGGUGGAAAUGGAGAGGAGGGAAGUCGUUUACGCCGUAAGCUAUCACUUUCGUUAUUUGAUUCGCCGUAAAAUAGUUACGGCCGAAACUUGAGUUAACCCGAAAUGACGUAAUUGACUUCGGCCUAUCGUGGGCCAAAGUCAAUUAUGGUGAAAGAAAAAAAAAUAAAAUAAAAUAAUACACUAGAUAAAGAUAAUUAUAUUUAAUUAUAGUAUUAAUUAUUUUUUUAUUCGGUUGAUAACUUGACAUAUCUAAACUAUGAUAAAAAUUGAUUAAUCAAGUAUUAAUUUUUUUUUACUUCAUAGUUUUAUUGUUGUAUUAUUAUAAUUUACGUAUAAAAAAAAUAAUUUAGUUGUUUUAAAUUAAAUUUUAAUUAUAUUAAAUAUAAUUAUAUUAUUUUAUUUAUUAAAUUAUUUAUUAUUUAUAUAUAAAUUAUAAUUUUACAUCAUAUAUUUCUUACCAAACAAACAGUAGAACUAAUGAAACUCUACUUUCAUAACUACGAAACAAACAGCGGAAAAGAAAUAGUUUUCACCGAACUCCACCUCAACCCAAAGUCAAGUUUCCGUGAAACAAACAUACCGUAGGCUGUUUGUUAAUUUUUAUUCAACUCAAUUUCCAUGACCGGUCUUUUAGUCACCAUAUUAGGUUCAUGCCACAUUAUAGUAGGGUGCGUGUUACAAAUUAAUUUUUUUUUCUUAUUUAAUUUAAGUUCAGUUCACAUUCUAGGCCUAUCAAAAAUUUUAAAGCCUGAGUAUGAGGAAAAAAAAAUUGAAUAUGAAAUAUUAAAACACCGUUGUCUAACAACUUAAUAUCUUACAUACAAAUAGUUGUUUCCUAAAUAGUGACCACGUACAUCUUACAAAGUUAACACUCUGCUUUCAAAUUCUGAUUCUAUCAAUGAAAAUGAUGCCGUCCUCUCCUAGUGUUGCAUAACAAGGCCCUGCUGCGGCUGUAUUGGAAUGAUUGAUUUAAGAAUUAUUAGACGAAUUGAUUUCUCAAGUUGUUUGAAUCUAUUGAGCUGAUAACAAGGGUUUUCUGGUUAAGUUUUACUUUGUUAGAAUCAUUAUUGUAGUUUGAGCUCUGCAUCCUAAGAAGCUGGUUGGUUCAUGGGAAAAGUAUUAGAAAAAAAAUUUUGAAAAAAAAAAAAGUUUUUCAUGAAAAAUAUCUUUUUUAGUUUUUUGCCUGUUUGGUUGCGAAAAAAAAAACUAGCUCUUCUGGAAAACUUUUUUCGGAGAAAUAUGUUCAAGCUUUAAUCUGCUUUCGUAUUAUAUAGGUCCCUUGAAUUCUCAUAGUAACGAUGCAGCAACAGAGGUUUCUGAAGAGAAAAUAUCACUUGUUGUGUGUUUUGGUGAGAUAUUGAUCGACUUCGUCCCCACCGUAGCUGGAGUUUCUCUUGCAGAAGCACCUGCAUUCAAGAAAGCUCCAGGAGGUGCUCCUGCGAAUGUUGCCGUUGGUAUAUCUAGACUUGGCGGUUCAUCAGCUUUCAUUGGCAAGGUUACUAAAUAAGCUUUUCAUUAUUUUUUUUAAGAAAUCAAGUUCAUAUACUUGCAGUUUUCAUAUGUAUGUCUGUAGCGCAUGAAUUCAUAACUUUGAUCCUGCUGAAGUUAAGUAUUUCUUUUGUUGCUGGGCAGCAUUUAGAAACCUCUAUUGUCUAUAUGCUCUUCUAUAUUUUUCUUAAGGAUUAGCAGCUCUAACAUGCCCAAGUAAAGAAAUGAGAUUUUUGUGGUUUCAACAUUAAUAUAAUAACAACUAGAGCAUAGUUAACUAGACAUUCAUAAAUAUGCUGCUGAAAUAUUGUGAUUGUAUCAAAAUAUAGCUGUUCCAUUUGUAUUAUUCUAAUUUUCAGCUAGUAGAUGAUUCAGAGACUACAAUAACUGUUCCAAUUUUCUGUCAGUUAUGCGAACACAGAAAUGCUACUUUAAUGAAAUUCAUAUAAAAGACUGACGAAUGAAAUAUCUCCACUUUAUGCAUGCUUGAAGUUGUAUACAACAAAGGCUUUACCCUUAUUUGACAGCUAUAAUGUAAAGAUUAAAUUGCAUAAUUGUGCGUAAGUCCUUAUUGGUUUUCUAGUAUCAGGUAGAACAAAAUUUUACUGAAAACUUUGCAGGUAGGAAAGGACGAAUUCGGCUAUAUGCUGGCUGACAUCCUUAAAAAAAACAAAGUCAACAAUUCUGGCAUCCGGUUUGAUCCUGGUGCACGCACUGCACUGGCGUUUGUCACCCUACGAGCUGAUGGAGAGAGAGAAUUUAUGUUUUACCGCAACCCAAGCGCUGACAUGCUACUUAAGGAAUCAGAACUUGAUAUUGACCUCAUCAAAAAGGUAAACAAAAAUAGAGAAAAAUUCUGUGGGCUAGGCCACAUUGUAACAUGAUUCCUGAUAUUUCUGUUUUUGUUGCAGGCAUCUAUAUUUCAUUAUGGCUCAAUCAGCUUAAUCGAGGAACCUUGCAGAUCAACACAUCUGGCGGCGCUAAAAAUAGCCAAAGAAUCAGGAUGCAUUCUAUCUUAUGAUCCUAACCUCAGAUUGCCGUUGUGGCCAUCUAGCGAGGCGGCAAGGCAGGGCAUCAUGAGUAUAUGGGAUCAGGCAGAUGUUAUUAAGGUACAAUUUUCCUUCUAAUCUUUCUCUGCAAGUGGCAUUUACAUUAACAUUAUUGUUGUUCAGUUCAAACUCAAGUUUGGUGAAAGUAAAAAAAAAAAAAGAAAGAAAGAAAGAUCUUGGAAACAACUAGCAUAAUGCUGGGAGAUUCACUGUCUAGUCUUAUGCUAGAUUUUGGGUCUUUCUAUGAAAGAUAACUUCGGACCAUUUCAAAGAAACUUUGGUUUCGUAAAUUUAAGCACAUAAACUACCUUCCAGAUCUUCUCUAUGUCUUCAUAAUAGAUGACUAGACUCUUAACAAAUUUGAUUUACGGCCAAAUUCACAAAUUCGUUAAUUAAACUCCCCCUUAACUUCCGACAUCUUCAUAUUGAAUACAGUGCAAUUGUAUCAUUGUAACAUGGUCGCUGUUGGUAUGUUAGGUAAGUGAGGAUGAGAUUUCAUUUUUGACUGAAGGUGAUGAUCCCUAUGAUGACAAUGUUAUACAGAAGAAGCUUUUCCACGCCAACCUUAAGCUUCUUCUAGUUACAGAAGGGCAAGAUGGGUGCAGAUAUUACACUAAGGUAAUCCGUCUUCUCCACUUAGACCUCUUUUUCUUUAAUCGUAAAGAACGAGCUUGCAGAUUCCAAAGUAAUUUCCUCGUGCUCUAACAAGAAUAAUUUACUGGAAUUCUUUUCUCCGUUUUCAGGUAAAAUGUGUAAUUCCCUGUUUAUUCGCAUUUUGUUUAACACAUUCGAUCUAUUUGCAGAAAUUCAGUGGCCGAGUUAAAGGAAUUAAAGUCAAAGCAGUUGACACUACUGGUGCUGGUGAUGCAUUUGUCAGUGGGAUCCUCAGCAAUUUAGCUUCUGAUCUCGAACUUUAUAAGGUGAGAUAUCUCUGCGCCCGGCUUAAUGGUUGGGCUUGUUUACUUCUCGAGCUCUCUGAUAAUUUGUAAUGCUUGUAAUAACAAAAUUUUUAGUAGGCUCAGCUGUAAUUGCAAGUGCUAGCUAUCAGAAAAGAGUUGGUUUUAUAACAGAAGGAAACUACUAAUCACGACCGAAAAGUUGAGCCCCUUGGAAGAUCACAUUAAUGAUUCAUGUCUAGACAACCUGCAUAAUAAAAUAAGAGGGAGAGUUGACUCCAAAUUCAUUUCUAAACUGUUGUUCAUAUGUUUAUAGAAGCUACUAGAACAUUGAAGAUUCUGAGUCCUGCAGCUCGAGUCUCACUUCGAUCUUGUGUGUGCAGGAUGAGAAGAAGCUAAAGGAGGCUCUAUUAUUUGCGAAUGCCUGCGGUGCUAUUACAGUCACCGAGCGCGGAGCGAUCCCUGCUCUCCCGACCAAAGAUGCAGUCCUUGAUCUCCUGCCUAAAGCUUCUGAACAGCCCCAAUGCUUCUGCGCUAUCAGCUAAGCUAAUCGACGACAUUCUCAUCAGGAGGCGAAAUUCGCUAGUCCUUUCUAUUGUAUCUGUCGCUCGUUCACUUGUUUCAUAUUAAGGCAGACAACAGAAAGUAGCCAGCAGAGCUUCGAUAAAUGCAAAGAUGGAGUUAUAUGGCUUUAGUUGGGUGCGGUGCUUUGAAGUACGGAUCACAUCUUUUGCGAUCAAUGAAUGUUCCAAGUGUUUGUGUAUCUCAUUUGUUGUAACCCUUUGUUUAUCCGCGUCUGAUUUAUACCAUUAUAAAUUGAACUCACUUAUUGUUGGUAUUAGUUAACAUAUUUAACGAUGACGAUUUGUAGUUAUCCGAGUAUAGCAACUAUUUAUGGAGGAUAAAUUUUCUAAAUUCCGACAACUUUACUCUUUUCUUAUUUUUUUCCGUUCUUUCACUUUCCUAUCAUGUGUAGGCACAAACAGAGUGCGGCCUUCACAUGGCAACAGGAGAGAGAUAAAAUGGCUUUAAAAAGAGUCGACUUUAAGCGAAUUCUCGCGCGCACACGCUCAAAUAGCAAAGAUGCACAAGCACGGAAAAGGGUAACUCACAUGUAAAGUUUACAUGAAAAUGGUGAAAAAAUAUUUGAGCUAUAGCAACAGGGCACUAAAUAAGCCAAGUAAAAGGCGAGUACUGCUCAGUUUAUAGCAAACAUACUCUAGUGCAAAAUGGAAUUUCGUUGGAAUCACAGCUUGUUCCCCCCCUUAAACUUUUAGAAUUCUGUGUGUUUCCAUUACAAAUUUUUAUUUUAGGUGCAUUUAUCUUGAGAUGCUCAUGUCAUUGCAGAGCUUGCCCCAUUUGAUUUUGUAAUGAUUUGGAACUACAGCUUUCGCAUGUUACAUCCAAAACUUAAUAAAUUUUGCAGAGAUAUUAGAACCCAGGACCUCGCAAAACGGCAGGAAUUUAUGAUCGGCUCUCAUACCACGCUAAUGGGAAGAUCCAUCACAAUAGAAACAGCUCAGAGAUAUACAUCUAACAUGCUCUUCUGUGGAAUUUAAAAGGGUUUCCGUAGCAAAUGUCAUUACGGUGUUGUGACUUGUGAGUAUGUGACACGUGAUGAAAAUUUGCAUCGCACAACGUUGAAAAUGUCCCAAUUGGAGUGGGUCUGAUAGGAGGAAAGGAAGGGAAUUCUCUUGCAUGACAAUUCUCUUUUAAGAGGUGAAGAAUCUCUAGAUUUUCACCAUAUAAGAUGAGUCAAAGUGUACCAGAUGUUAUGCGUCCAUUCCACAUUACUCAGGAAAGACAAUGGAGUACGUUUUCACUUUGGAAAAGUGUUAGGGUUAAACUAUGAAUGAAUAUUUAUUAUUAAGCGAUGCAACGCACGAAAAACCACCCCAAAUCCGCGGACCCAAAUGGGUGGUGAACCUAUUACGGUCUCUUGACUUUGGUGUAAAUAGCACUAUUUGGAAUUUGUGUAGUCACACACUUCAUUCACACUUCCUACGUGUAACUCCACUUGCGCCAUAAAUAUAGGGAACGUAUGUCACGUUGAAACGCUUUUAUUAUUUUGUUCCACAAUGGAUGUGGAUUCACCAUUAUUUUUCAAUCAUCCUAGUGGCCUUUUCCCAUUUUCAUUGGCUUUGCGUGGGGUCCUUGUUGCACUUAGCACUUGGCAUCUUCUUUCAAGUUUAACUGAAAAAUUCUAAGCCAAUAAUACUGCGCCAACUAUUAAGUGAUUAACAAAAUAAGAUGCGUCGUACAUGAAUGAAUACACACUACACAGGGCCUAUAGAGAUAGAAGAAAUAAAGCAACCCGUGUGGGAGUGAGAAACCCAUAAAUAUAUAUAUAUAUAUAUAUAUAUAGUUUUCGCUUUCUUUCACAUCCAUUUCCCAAAUUGGACCCAACCCUUGAGCUACAAAGUAGCUAUCUUAGCUAGAACACCUACCAUGUCAUCAUCAUCUAUUCCGGGAAUAGUUACCCGUUAUUCCCGCAUAAGUUCCCUCUUAUGCUGACGCAAUCCACCAUUCAUCCACCCAUCAUGGAGAGAAUUAAUAAGAUCAUGCAAACCCCCCAAGCCCAGCUUUAUUCCAGCUCAUCAAAACUAGAAUUAGACUAAGGCCACUUACGUGCCAUGGUAUCUUAAAACCCAAGUCACCUACGCGCGGCCUCUUAGCCUAACUAGCUUCAACCACGCAACAAAUUAAUCGUCUCAGAAGAAUAAUGAAAUUAUUAACUACUAGUUAUUUUAUUAUGUAUUAUUAUCGAUCAUCAUUAAUUAGUGUGAGGUAUUUAUAGUUUUUGAACUAUUAGCAAUCGCAAGAUCAGCAAAACAGCGAGCAUAAGAAAAUAUAAGAAGAAAAAAAAAAAAGAAAUAUUUUUUUUAAAAAAAAAAAACAGGGUGGGCGAUAAGAUAACGAGGAGAAAAGGGAGGAGGUUGGCGACAGCUACAGCGAAAGCCACAUACUAACGCCACGCGGAGGCGAAGGUGAGGACCCGGCCCAUCCAGCUGAAGCCGAGCCACCCGCGUCCUCCUUGACCGCGAAACCUCGGGUUGGGUCCGGUCGACCGCGAGCGGGCUCGGACCGGGCUCCGCCACGCCUCGUCCGAGCGGCCAGGCCGGAACCCGGCCAUGCUCAUCCGCGCCCGCCACUUCCCGAAGAGCUCGCAGCGCUCGACCCGCUCCGGCCCCUCCCGGGCCACCGUGUUGGUCGCUUUCCGGCUCAGCGCGGCCUCGACCCGGGCCCGGUCCGCGCUGUCCCGGCCCAGCGUGGCCUCGAGGGACUCGAGCAGCGCCCCGUAGUGCGCGCACGCCUCGGCGAAGCGCGCGGCGAAGGGCGCCGUGUUCCCGCUCAUCUCCUGCUCCACGAGCGCCACGGCGCGCGGCGCCAGGGCGCGGACGCGGCGGAGGAGCUCGUCGCGCGGGUUGGCGGGGGACACGCUCUCGUCGGCGAUCCGGGAGAGGACGAAGGCCAGGUUGACGGCCAGGGCCUCGUCGGGCUCGCAGCCGAGCGAGGCCCGGUCCAGCUCCGCCGCGCGCAGGCUCACGAUGCUGAAGCGGAGCCCCACCCCGGCGCGGUCGGCCAGCUUGGAGAGGCGGUCGCCGACGUCCCGGAGGCCCUUGGCGGCGGCGGCGGGGAGGGGGUAGGCGGGGUCGGCGACGGCGGUGAUCUUCAGGGAGGCGGGGCGGGGGCGCCGCUCGGCGAGGGCGCGGAUCAGCUCGGCGUGCUGCGCGCCGCUGCCGACGUCGAAGUCGACGACGUGGAGCUUCGGGUGGCCGCGGGCGGCCUCGAGGAUGGCGAGGUUGGCGACCGCGAGGCCGAGCUUGAAGCAGGGGGAGGCGUCGUGGAGCAGCUGCGUCGCGAAGCGGUGCUCCGCCGAGAGGAGCUGCCGCGAGGGGUUGGAGGGGGGAGGCGUGGAGCACGAAGCGGUGGAGGAGGCCGUGGAGUUGGAGGAGGAGGAGUUGGAGGGGGAGGGGGAGGGGGAAAGGGGGUUGCUCUGAUUCGCCAUCGUCGGCGGCGGCGGCGGCAACGACGGCGAAGGGGCGGCCGAGAUCGAGAUGAGCUGCCGCAUCGUUUCGCCCCACUCUGGUUCCGCAUCGCGGACUCGGUCGCCGCCUUAGGGUUACGAUCGGACUCCAACGCGGCCGGAUGCCAACCCCUCUGCGGACCGCCCUGAACUAGGCAUCCGGAAGAAAUCGAGGAGGGGGAGGUGAGACUCCCGAGGUCGGACGAGAGCGGCGAAGCCAUGUGGAUCUUCUGCUUCACGGAGCGCAGGAAGAGCGCCUGCUGCAGCGCCAUCUGCUGCUGCCGCCGCUCCAUCUCCGACAGCGUCCGCUUCAAAACCCCUGCCCCUCCCCCUCCCCCUCCGCCGUCCGAUCGGCCCUGGAACGGGAUUUGAACGGCCGAUCCGCCCCCGAACCCCGCGUAGCUUCCGCGAGAAUCGCGUCCCGGGAAUCCCGACGCCAUACAGAGAGAAAAAGAGAGAAAGGGGCUUCGAAUUCGAAACGCAAGCUAGACUGCUGGAGGCGGAAUCUAAGAAGAAGAAGGAGAAGGAGAGAGGUCGCAGCAGCAGCAGCAGCAGCAGGGGGAGGAUGCAGUGGUCAUGGCUCGCGGCGGCUUUUGCUCAACCGCCCUUUCCAACCAUCCGCCGAAUCUCCUCCAAUGGAAAAGCCCCCCCACCUUUUAUACCAACUUUUUUUCCUUCUCCUUUUCUUUCAACCUAUAUUUUUAUUAUUCUUUUCCGCCGGGCGUUGUUGGCGUUGCUCGCUUGCCUGCCUUAUUAUUAUUAUUUUAUAUUUAUAUAUCUCAUCAUUAAUUCAUUAUUGUAUUUAAAACACGAAGAAGGCAGGCAAAUGUUUUUUGAAGAAGCGACUGGGAGAACGGGAGUAUGCGGGUGACGCGCACGACACACCGUCGGUGGGCGCACGCCAGCAGCGUUCCAACCGCGAUUUCAGAAUUGAAUCCAGGACGCCCCCUUCCCCCCAACCCACUGCGUGAAAACACGUCUAGCCCAGGUGUUCCCGCCUAAAUCUUUUGUGCGGACAGCUAUCCCUACCCCGCUUUCCCCACCGAAUACCCGAUCGGCUGCGACCUGACCAACUACGGCGGACGGCGUUUUGGGGAAGCGGGGGGGGGGGGGGGCGGUGGGGUGGGGUGAUUUUUUGAAAGUUGGUUAGCGAAAGCCGAAUAAUCUUCUAACCCUCACGCCACUUUCGUUGUUUUGCAGUAUUAAACUGGUAAAAGGGUUAAAGAAUUGAACGAGAAAGAUUACGAGGCGGCGACACGUGUGCAGUAAAAGAAACCGAAUGUGCACUCGCCCGCGCCGGGCCCACCCCUGCCUCCUUUGCCUGAUGAUUGCUUUCGCAGCACCAAUACCGUUGCGAUAACACAAUUAACGUCCACAUACGUCGGGCGAAAGACUGAACCGUGCCAUUUGGUCCAAUCGGGUACCGGUAGAUUCCGAAUCCAAAUGGAAUCCUUAUUAGUGCGCGAUGAAUCGCGCCAAACUAUUUCAACGAGAUUCCGUUAAAAAGCUCCUCAGCAGAGACCCACGUUCUCAAGCAUGUUAGAACAUUGUAGUCAUGGCUAAUUAAAUCCCUACUCGGCCAUUAUUUCAUUCAGAUUUUAUAUAGAUAUUUUAUUUAUUUUGUAGAUAAAACGUAUGAUUAAAUAUUUAGUGAAAGUAAAUAUCCACACUUAGUUUAUUUUGCAAAACAACAAAUAAUCAAUUGUAGUGGAUCAUCCGGGCCCUCACACUCGGGUAUCUAUCGGCACGCCUUAUGUCUCUGUUCUUUUUUUUUUUAAGCCUUUUUUUUUUUUUUUUUUCUUCAGUUGUUUAAAUACUACAUGGGAGCUCUUACAAAAUCUAGCCCCAUCGAGCGGUCGGACUCAUAUGAUCGAUCGUUGGCUCAUCAAUUCGGUUACAUGUUGACAGGCUUGAUGGCGAUAAAUGGUAAAUAACAGUUGCCGAUUCAUGUUUUCAUUUAACUGGGGCGCGGGUUCGUGGAUCAUCGUCCAUAUUGCGUGUUACUGCUAUACGAUAAAUUUGUUGGCGACCUGGUGCACGAUUAGAGCUUGUUUUUUUACCGGCAUUUCGGCACACAGAAGACUCUUCAUCGUUGGGAAACGCAAGUGCUGACCCUUUAAAAAAAUGACCCGCAAACUCGAAGAUCGGAAACGCGGACCAAAUGCUUAGAUCAUACGUUGUAAGCAUUGGUCUUGACUAUGUGUACGCGUGAAAAACGCUACUUUAUCUCCAUCUGGGGUGAAGUUCGAGAUCGAGCAUACGAACUGAAACUCGCAAUACAAAGAAACCAACAUGAGCUAAGAAGUCAUGCCUGGCAGCCCAUAUUCUCCGUCUGUAAUCUCUCCUUUAAAGCAAUUUUUCCCGCGGCAAGUAACAAAAUAGAUUUGAUUGGAACCGGGUUCGUCAUGCUAACUACGGAUUUUUUUUGUCUUUCUUUCUUUCUACGAAUCAUGGCAAGUACCCCAUCUGCUUAUAAGCUAAGUAAAGCAAUAAAUUUCAAAUCCUGACAAAUAUCUAAACUUGGGUGAAUGAAAUAGACGAUGAAACUAAAUGAUCCACACGUUCACUCAAACACACAUUAGGUUUUUUUUUUUUUUUUUGUUUUUUUUUUUGAGAAAAGUAGCGUUCUAUGUGUUUCAUCAACAAGAAGGAUAAAAUUAACACAUCAACGAAGAAAGUAAACCUCUGUCAAAAGGAGAAGAAAAAAAAAUAGUAAUAGUAAAAAUACUAAAAUAUUAAUAGUUUCGUUUGGGCGAUAGAGAAUUCUUCCACAUGGUCAGCCGACCGCUUGAUUUAUCCACUGUUAUUUAGUGGAGUCGCGUUAGCCCCUUUCGGAACGAAUGAUAGCUAUUUUUGCGUUCCAGAUGAACCCACCAAGCAGGCCACAGACCGUCAAUCUAGCUCGAGAUGACGACAGCACUAUGCCACUUGUUCCAUAGUGGAUCUCACAUCAUCCCCGACAAGUCCUCAAUUGACUCCUUCCACUGAUCAUCUAAAUAAAAUCACUAAUCCACGCAUUGCGUAAAUAAGUGGUUCACAGCUCCACUUUGACCCCAAUACAACACAACAAAUUAUAUUUUUCAUCCACCCUCUCAUCUGAAGGAUAGUCUCUAUACGUGUUCUUUGCGAUAAAAGGCUGGCCAUUAGGCUAAUUUAUUUAUAGUGAUAAUCCCUUGGUGGCCAAAUGUAUCUGAGCAAUUAGACUUUCGUGAGAGAGAUAUUCAACCCAAUAUAAUAUAUAUAUAUAUAUAUAUAUUUAGGUGUCGUCCUUGUUACAAUGAAUUUUCUACACCGCAAGAACUAAAUAAAAUAGAGUAGGCUUUAGAAGAAGAGUAAUGGAUUCCUGGGUGCGGGGGGUGGUUGCAAUUAGCUAUCUCAGUAAAAUGAAAGUUUUUCUUUCAAAAGCAGAUUUCUGACCUAAUGACUUGUCCAGCCUCCUUAUGAAAAAAAAAAAAACUAUCUAGUUUUUUUAAAAAUAUUCUUAAUUUAGCCUCAUUUUAUAGAUUCAGGAAAAAAAAUAAAUAACUUGUAGGUAUAUAUGUUACUGGAUGAGAGAUUAUUUUUUCUCUCACUGCCUCCAGUUCCUAAGACCUCUUCUGCAGUCUCUUUCUCUUCUCCCCCAAAACCAUACACCUCAAAUGCAGUCACCUUUAUAUCAUAAAUAAUAGUAAUUAUCUUAUUUUUAUUUUUAUGUUUUGUAUAGUUAUAUUAUUUUUACAUCAUGUUCGGUAGUGUGAGUCCAAAUAAGCUUUUAUAAUCAAAUAUAGUCAUUGGUAUAUCAAUAUCUAAUGUAACGUUCAUUUUAUCUUAUAGUUUUUUAGUAUAAUGUCUAGUCGUAUCAUAUUUUAAUGUGUAUUAAUAUCGAGAUUUUAUAAAGUCAUAUAUCAAUUAAAUAUUAAUAGUAAUAAUAAUAAUAAUAAAAUUUUAGUAAUUAGUAAUUAAUAUAUUUAUUAUUUAUAAAAAAAUUACUUUUUUAUUAUUAUAAUAAAAAAAAUUUAAUAUAAUUAAAUAUUGAAAAGAGAGAAGUGGGGGGAGAGAAGAGCGAAUGUGUGUGUAUACACGUGCAUGUGUUGUUGUGGGAGUGAGGGUGUGUUUGUUUGGGGAGUGAGAGAGAGAGAAAGAGAGUGAGAAGAGGCCUUCGAAUAUGGAGGGGAUGGAUAAAAAAAAUAAUUUCUCACACUAAUUAACAUAUAAAUUUAAUAUAAAAAUUAUAAUGCUAUUUUUUUUUUUUCUAGAUCUAUACAAAUAGGGUUAAGCUUAGAAAUAUUUCUUAAAAAGAGGGCUAGAUAGAAAAAAAAUUUCUAAGGAGCUAAACAGGCAUUAGGCUCGAAAUUCUCAUAACAAAUUUUCUAUUUAAUUAAGUUUCUUAUAAAUGUAAGAACUUCAACUAUAAAGUACCUUGAUCUCUAAGAAUUUAAUGAAUGUCUCUAGGAGGAAUUCAAGUUAAGCUUUACAUUUCGAGCAAUUAUAUAAUAUAGUAUAAUAUUGCUAGGUAUCAACUUAAAAAAGUUUUCUUUUUCCCGUCCUUUAGCAGACGGAAGCUCAGAAAAAAAUGAUAACAAAAUCAAUUAAAGUUAAUUAGGUUGCUUAUGUAAGUAAUAAGAGGUUGUUCGGUGUUUGAUGUAAUUACAAUAUAAUGUAGUUGAGAUGCAAUUGAAAACAGCAGUUGUAACUAUAUGUAUUGGCUGUUUGAUUGGAUGUAAGUAGAAGGUGAUCCACUUAAAUAAUGUUUGAUUAUAUAUAUUUGAGAAAUAAUUUUUAAAAAUUUUUAUCAUUUUAUGUAUAUGCUGUGAGAUUAACGCUUCAGGCCCGUUUGGUUCGAAUAUUAAAUAUUGACAAAGUAUUUUGACUAUAUUCGGCAUAUCUUGAAUUCUAAAUGAGAUUAUACUGAUGUUGCAGUUAGUGUGUUUGGUUGAAAAAAUAAUAGGCAGUAAUAUAUAUCUGGAAUUCAGUAGCUCAUACGGUUUAAUUUUCAAAUGUUCUGGUUCUGUUAUAAAAUUUAGUAAUCUAGAACAAUAAAAUAUAGCCUAUUCCAAAAUUGUCUUUAGUCAAUAUUUAGUAAACUUUUUCUUAUUGUUACAACAUAUUCUUUUACCAAUUUUAUUUUAAAUAAUUUAAUUUUUUAAUUUGAUUUUAAUUUAAAUUUUAAAUUGUAAAUUGCAAUAAAAUAAAUUUAAUAUUUUAAUUUAAAAUAUAAAUAGAAUUUUUAAAUUUAUAAUCUAAAAAUUUAAAUAUAAAUAUAUAUAAAUUAAAUUAAGAUCUAAAAUUAAAAUUCUUUUUGACAAAAAUUUAAAAUACAUAUUUUAUUUUAAAAUUUUAAAUGUAAAGAUUUGAAGUUUAAAAAUUUGAAUUUAAAAUGCUGAGAAGUUUGAAAUUAAUAAAAAGUUUAAAAUUUAAAUAUUUAAAAUUUAAACUUAUAAUUAAAAAUCUAAAAUUUAAUUUAAUUAUAAAUUUAAUUAAAGUGUAAAAAAAUUUUUAUAAAUUAAAAAUUUACAAAAUUUGAAUUUGAAAAUAAAAAAUUAAACAUUGAAGUUGACAUGAUUCAAAAUUUUAACAUUAAAAUUUUUUAAAAAUACCCGGUAUAAAAGAGUUUCCGAGGAGUUAGCAAGGUAAAAAUUGUCAUUUUACAUAAAUAUGUAGUAUUACGUGUCAAUAAUGUAAUAAUACCGACCCUCUCGUUAAUAUUUCGAUGUAUUCCUGCUUGAUUUGUGAUGCCGGCAUAACGAAUAGAUUUACAUAGCGGACUGAAUCAACACAGUAAUCCUGACAGGAUUGCCUGUAUCCCUAUCAGGUAUAACUCGACCAAACGCCACCCGUCAAUAUAAAAAAAUAUAUAUUUUUGUGCUUAAAAAAAUAAUUAAGGGAGAUAAAGCAUAUCUUUUGUUAAAGUUACUCUUUCCAAUUCUACAGUUGAACUGUGGCUGAAUUUGGUAUAGUUCCGAUGCUACGAUUUGGCCUACUAUCUCAAUUCCUACUGGCAAGAAUUGGAGUUAAAUACAUCAAAUUAAACACCGAAUUAUAUUAUACAUCAGUUAGAAUUGAAAUGGAAGUUUAACUAUAUACAACAAACAGUCCUAAAAUGAAGCAAUCUUACUCAAGUAACAGACAUUCAAGUAAUUAAUCCAAUAUAAAUAUUAAUUACGGAAAGAACUCUCCCAUCCUGUUUGUUUAAAAGUGGAUUAGUUUUGAAAACCAAGUUGUUAUGAUUUUUCAAGUCCGAGUAUUGGACUACAUAGUUAAAAUUUUAAAUAAACUACACUUUUAAUUAGUUCCAAACUAUGUAACAUUUUUGAAUACUAAUUAUCAAACAUGUUACUUUAGUUAAAAAUUAAUUACGGACAUAAUUAUCAAUAAUUAGAUAUGUUUCUAAUCACAUAUUGCAAUACAUUAAAGUUUGAAUACCCUAUUACUCAGAGACUUUCAUAUUGGUCCUGUCUGUCCUUUCUUAUUUUUAACAACUAAUAUCAAUGCAAAGAUAUUUUUAAACCACUUAUCAAUAUAAAAGUGUAAAAUUAUACCCUCUAUAUUUGGAGAUGUACCAUUAUGGAUUUUUUUCUAAAUUUUGUAGGUUGACUUAAUAUUAUGACAUGAUGUCGCCAAUUAAAAAUUCCUUUUCACGCCUUUUAAUUCUUUUUUUUGCAGAAGUAAGUAUAUUAUAGAUACAACAAUAUUGACCCUUCACAAUUUGGCCAACAAUUAGAUUCUCAUGACUAUGACAACUUGUUAAUUAGUAUCUUCUUACAGGAAUAUUCUUUUUCAUACAAUAGAUACAAUGAAGAAUUUAAAAAUGUUAAAGGAGAUUAAAUAGUUUGUUUUCAUGAGUGUUCACUCAAUAUUAACAAUUUAUUACUAUUUGAUAACACAAAGCACUAAAUAAUAAGAAUAACUUAAAUCAAAAGAAUCAAACCUGAAAGAAUGUCAAUAAAAAUGAAAAAAGAUAAGUUGAUGAGCUUAUUCUAGCUGAUCUACUGUUGAGGGGGCAACCAAAUUUGGUUGCAAAAACAAUACUAUAUAUAUAUAUAUAUAUAUAUAUAUAUAGAGAGAGAGAGAGAGAGAGAGAGAGAGCUAGGGUUCUAUGUUUCGAAAGUACGGAGACUUACGUGCUUGUAAGUUAUUUUCGAUGAUGGAGCAUCCGAUUCGGCGAUCGGCUCCGUUAGACAUGAUAUACACUAUUGAAACUAUUUAAAAAUCAAAUUUCAUAAUUUUUUGACUUUAUUUGCUUAGUGAACGAGUAAGCUCAAAAUAAACGAUUGAAAAUAAAAAUCUCAAAAAAAAAUAGUGAUAAAAAAUUCAAAUUUCAAAUCGGAAGUAUUGUUCUUGCUCUUAAUAUUAAGUAAAAUUUUUUAUUAAAGUUUCAUGUAAUUUAAAUUUUUCUACACUGUUGAACUUUAAAACAUGACACAUCGGUCAUUAAAAUAGUCAUUUUUUAGACUCUUUGAUCAAUUGGUAAAUGAUAUCAAAAAAUUAUGAAAUUUGAUUUCUAAAUAAUUCUAAUAGCGUAGAUCAUGCCUAACGAAACCGAUCGCCAAGUCGGAUGCUCCAUCAUCAAAAACAACUUACAAGGUCUCUGUACUUUCGAAAAUAUUGGAGACGUACUCUCUCUCUCUCUCUCUCUCUCUCUCUCUCUCUCUAUAUAUAUAUAUAUAUAUAUAUAUAUAUAUUCAUACUUUACUAGAGCAAAUGUUUCAUUCACUGUACAAUAUUAACAUUCUUUCACUACUCUAUCCCAAGCGCUGUGCACUGUGUAACGUUGUUUUCUUAAUUUUGGCAUCCUUUUCUCUUUGCUGGCAUAGAAAAUGCUCCAUCAAAAUAUAAAUAUUUGUUGUUAACACCUCUUCUACCAUGUCAGUGUCGCUGUUUAGAAUUUAUCAUUCAUCUCGUGCUUUCAAUCUAAUCAUUUAACAGAAAAUUUGAAAAAUAAAAGAAAAGAAAUGUAAUUUAUUGGAUGGUGAGAAUUGAAGCGGUCCAUGCAUGGUGCAUUGAGUGUAGGCAACUCGCAGGACAUGCCUUGAAUCUUACGACAUUGAACUCGGUACAACAAUGAGACCACAAAUAUAUGAAGGUUGUUGUAACAACCAUCGCACGGUAAUAAAGAGAUCCAAGAUCUCAGUACAGGAGAUAGCCAAUCUAAUUCCUCAAAGAUGAUUUGUCCAUGAAGAAGGUAAGUGUACAGGGAAUGGUUGGUAGACCAUCUUUCCUUAAAUACCCUAAGAUUAUUACAAAAAAAAAAAGUUUUACGUCCCAGAUGGGAAGGAACUCUAUUACGUACGUACCUAGGAUUAUAGCUAGGGGACUAAUUAGCUUCUUAAUACUUUUCUUAUAAAAAAAGAUUCAAUUUCCUCGGUUGCUAAAGAUGUCCAAAAUACCUGGUAUACCGAUUCCAAUCCGAACCUGAUUAAAAAUAGAUAUUAUAUGGAUAAAAAAAUUUACCUAUUUAAGUUUUGAGUAUGGAUCCGAAUACGUAAUAUCCAUACUUGAAUCAAACCUAAUUCUUUGGUGAAUGGGAUGUGGAAUAGUUUUCAUAUCCCUAUCAGGGCUAAGACCUGGUGAAAUAACUAAACAUCAAAAAAAGCAAAGAGAAAAAUAUAUUUUAAUAGGUAUAUGCGUUUUAUACUUGUAAUAUAUGUUAUGUGACUAAUUGUAUAUAUUUAUGCAAUUAUAUUAUAUGUGUUUAGACUUUCUAAACAUAAUUUUAAUUAUUAUGUUAUUGUAUAUGCUAAGGUGGUGGUCAUAUAGUUUUUCUAUUGUAAAUUUUAUAUUUUUAAUUUGCAUUUAUCAUGUAAUCAAUAUUUAUACUUUUAAGUUGGUAGUCACUAUUUAAAUUCGUUGAUAGAUACAUAGAUUCGAUGGAUGGAACCCAAUCCGAAGAUGGAGGAGUGGGGCAUUUUAUUCUAUUUUAUUUUAUUUGGAGUAUUCAGUCCUCAGUGAAUUUGGUUAAGAAAAUUAUUUUUUUUAAUCGAGUACGCGUGAGAGAUUUAUCCUGUACGAGUGCAUUAGUUCAAUAUUUUAGUGGCACACGAAACAUGGAGGCAAAGUAUGGAUGCGUCAAAUUGCUCGACACUCACUAAUGGCGGAGUAACUCUCAUCACAUGGUGUGACGUACGACCAAAGAGGGCAUCGAAUCGUGUGGGGGACCUUUUGCAGCUAAGUUCAAUAUCCUUUUCAAAGAGUUAGGUUACGCAAAACAUAAAUAUACAACUAUCUGAAUCGCAUCUGCGUUUGUCGACCGUAUCUAAUUAUUCGUGCUGUAACUGUAUCUCCCAUUUGGAACAUUGAAAUCCAAGUUCGAUAUGAACUCUAAAGCUGAGUAAUUAAUUGUUGUUAUACCUGGGAAAUUAGCUCGCUAACAGUGUUUUUCGAAUACAUUGUCAGGUUCUUAUUCUAACUCUAAAAUACGCAGCGAUUUUACAUGCUGUUUAUCUUUUUCUCUUUAUAUAUAUAUAUAUAGAGAGAGAGAGAGAGAGAGAGAGUUUGGCUAUAGUACUUGUAAAAGCAGCAAGCACAUGAUGUAUAUAUAUAUAUAUAUAUAUAGAGAGAGAGAGAGAGAGGCUGGUAUACUAUCGGUAGCACGGAGAUCUCUGUACUACCAAGUUGUUUUCAAUGAUGCGCCUUCCAAAUCGACGAUCAGUUCCGUAGACUUGAUCUACAUUAUUGAAAGUAUUUGGAAACUAAAUUUCAUAAUUUUUCGACAUCAUUUGGCUAAUGAUCAAAAGGUCUCAAAAUUGACAAUUUUAAUGAUAGAUUUGAUGCGUUUGUGAUUUUUAACGGUAUAAAACAAUCCAAAUUUGAUGAAAUUUUUAUAGAAAAUUUUUUUCACUAUUUAGAGUAAGAUCAAUAUCUCUGAUCUUAAAUUCAAGUCUUUUAUCAUCAUCUUUUAUGAAAUUUUUAUUUUCAGCUGUUAAUUUUUAGACUACUUGUUUGAUAGGUAAAUGAUGCCAAAAAAUUAUGAAAUUUAGUUUUCAAAUACUUUCAAUAGUGUAGAUCAAGUCUAACGGAGCCGAUCAUCAAUUUGGAAGCAGCAUCAUUGAAAACAACUUGGUAGCACGGAGGUCUCCGUGCUACCGAUAGUAUACCAGCCUAGCUCUAUAUAUAUAUAUAUAUAUUUAUAUAUAUGAAUUGAGAUAGAAUACUCUCAAAAGCACCAACCCCUUAAUGCUUUUGAGUUUUUAGCCAUUGAAUCUACUCCUUGAUUACUAAUAACUUUUGGAUCAAAUACUAUUCCACCUAUUACCACCUACCACCAUCAUCUCAACCAUGCAUCCUUCCAUUCAAUGACUAAAAAUUCAAAAGCACCAACCCCUUGGUACCUUUGAAAGUAUUCUAGCUCAACUCUCUCUCUCUCUCUCUGUAUAUAUAUAUAUAUAUAUAUAUAUAUUAUGAUAAGAUGCGCCACGGAAUCUUUUUUGCGAUUAAAAUCCCGGGUUUUCUAUAUGAAUAAAUCGAGAAAAAACGCAAUAAUGUGCUACAAUAAUGCGUUUCUAGAGGACCAAUGGGGGAAUAUGGGAAUUCGGUGCAGGUGCUUUUGGCUGGCCCAUUCGUUUGGUAUAAUAACUGGGCACCGGUUUCCACCCUAAAGGCCCCAAAAAACCGGAACCAGUGCCAAGUUGGGGAAGUGAGUUACUGGAAACCGACCAGAUGGAUUCGACUUUUCCGUUAUUUUGACCGAAGUGGGACCUUGGGAGGUAUAUGAACUGCUUGAAUAAGCAAGAGCAAGUAAAAAUCAAUCGAGUCAUAUGUAGAACUUUUAAUGCUUAAGGCGAAGAUAACUAACAACAAAAGGAGAAAAGAAAAAGAGAAGUACUGUAAUAGGGAUCAAAUGUAGUUAUUUGAUUUGUUGAUGCUUCGGUACAAUUUUAUAAGAGCUUUUCGGAUGAAAAAUGUUAGCUGUACGGCCUAAAAAAAGGUGUACAUCAUACAUCCAUUGUCUUAAAGCUUAUAAACUCUUUUAGAUUUGUAAUAGUUUUUUUUUAAAAAAAAAGCUAACAAGAUAGGGAGUAAUUGAAGUGCUCUGAUUAGAAAUGUAAGUUUUUUUUUUAGUGUAUAAAUAAUAUUGUUCUUCUAGGAUACUGUUUGGUCGCUCAUUUAGAUGAGUACGGUGAGUUUCCUGUUCUAGCAAAAUUCUUGGAUGUAUGAAUUUAAAAGUCUAGGUUAAAGCCAUAUGCUCAUGUGAAGAUCAGUACAUCGUAGAUCACUUCAUUUCAAGGUUACAGUUCCGCUCAAAAGUAUGGAAAAUUAUAUGUGAAUGAACUCAAUUAUAGCUCAAGGAGAAUUAAAUCUUUGAGACACUUAUUACGAGCCAAUUAUAAGCCAAACGACCAAAUUAGCUUCAGAAGCAACAGCUCAAUUAAGCUUUUUCUAAAGGAACCAAUUGAGAGGUCCACUUAUUACUAUUCACAAAGCAGCUAUUUCAUAACAACAUAACACUCAAGCAGUUGAAAGGUCAAACCAUGUGGUCAACCGCGUAAGAAUGUUCUACUCUGGGUCAAGAUCAACCAUUUCUGAGGUCUCGGGAAUCAACCAAUUGUUCAGAGUAACCACCUCCAAUAAAAAAUCAAUGUAUUUUCCAUUCAAUUAUAUUAUGUGAUGCCAAUUCUAAAAUAAGACUACCCAAAAAAAAAAACAAAACAAAUGAAAAGCUCGUUUAAUUGGACAUCUAAAGAUCCUGCAAAUUUUACCGCAUAGGAGAGCAUUCAAACCACUUCAUUCUUUUGAAUUUUAUUUUUCCUUUAUUUGGAUAAAAACCCAUCCUCGAAAGAUGAGAGUUUCCUUCGUGCUUUUAUUGCACACCACGUAUUAAAAUUGCACGAGAGAUUCGGAAGUCGCUUCUAGACUAAACAGAAUAUCUCAAAAAAGACAAGAACCCAAAAUAAAAGGCGACAUCAGAAGGAAAAAAAAAAAAAAAAAUCAGCACGAUAAUAAAGGCGAUCCUUAAGAUAAUAAAGGCAAUCCGUUAGCCAUUGAUUGAUCAUUCGGUGUAAAGAUUCUCAGCAGGUAGACACAGUAAUUUUAGAUGUGGGGCGUCUUAUGCCGACGGUUUUUGUAGUCAUGUCAUUCUCAAUUCUCAUCACACAUAAGCAGAGUAUAGGGACAAGCUCAAAGUUUGCUGAACAAUCUUUACAUAAGCAUUGUUGCAACAGUGUAGUCCUGACAAUGCCACUACACAGAAACACUAACAAAGCUCCCCAUAAUUAAUCUAGUCCUAUUGAACAAUCUUUACCGGUAGACAUGCAUAUGAAGCAAAAGACAAUUUCGCAGACAAAGUAUUUACUGUGCAACCAGAAACAAGUAAACUAGCAUAAAAACAGUUGGAAGCUCAUGUAGAUGUGCGGCAUAAAACAUUGAACAUUCAACAGCCUACGAGAGCACUGGUGGGUAUUGUUUGGCCUGCUGCCGAACCCGCCUUUUAUACUCUGCAAUAUCCUGUGGAUUGAUAACAAAUAAGCCCUAAGUCAAUAUUUAAUGACAACCAAGACAUCUACUUGGCCCUGCUUUCAGAACUGAUUCUUUACUAUGAGAAGUAGAAGUAGGCGUUUGGCAAAAGGAGAGAAAAGCUUCUAGGCCCUAUAAACAGAAGCGUAGUUUGAAGGUUCUGCUUUUAGCUGUCUUACUCAGCCAGGACUUAAGAUGAAGCUCCCAUACUAUAACCAGAAGAAAAGGUCAGUUACCAACCUGGAUGAAAAGUUGAUAGCCAUCAGUCUGCGCAGGAUCAGCAGGAUUUGGCUGAUCUAGUAAGUCCUGUAUUCCCACAAGAAUCUGUUUGACCGUAAUGGCCGGCCUCCACCCCUGAUAAAAACAAAAAAGAAGAAAGAUAUUAGCAUCGCCAGCAAUAGGCAUGAAUAUGGAGCCUGUGCAACAGCAUAAUUUAGUUCACUUACACUAUCCUCGUUAAGAAUUGAAAGGCACACUGUUCCAGAAGGGUAGACAUUUGGAUGGAAGAAACCUUGAGGGAACUUGCACUUGGGAGGUUUACUAGGGUAGUCCUCACUGAAAUGGAGGGUAAGGGGAAAAUAACCACCAUCCCAAUCAGUCUGCAGAAUCAAAAGUUGAGUUUUAGUUCUAAAUAACUUAAUUGCACAAGAAAGACAAAAGGUGUGUCUUAAAGUCACAGAACGUAUAAACAGAACUAACUUCAGUGACUAGCAAAAACACAUGUAGAAACGAACAGACCAAAAUGUACAACAAACAAGAAACAAAUACGCAUAAUCGCCUGUAAUAAUUAUUAAGGCAUUAAAUUCACCACGUGACACUAUGUUACAUUUACACUGCUAUAUCAUUCACAAGUAUACACAACUGAAAGAAUGAUUCCUGCUCUCUACUGAAACAUUAGUUGCACAAAUCCAAAUGCUUCAGGAAAAAGAACUUGAAUCAAUAAGUCCAUGCAAACAAUGCACAUCGUAUAUAGAUAAUAAAAAAAUCAAACAGUUGACACAAAAAAAGUUAAUACAGAUAAAGUUCCACAAGUUAAAGAUUCAUAAGUAGCUAUUUAUCGUAGCAAAAACAGAAACACCUAUCAGAUUGUUAACAAUACCUAUUACACUUUAUUAUCGAUAUUGCAUGGAUUAGGCCAACAGUAAAUUGACAAUACGUGACUAUAAGCAGGGGUUAGCAUUCGAAAGAAUACUAUCAGCAAUAGUCAUGAAAUGGAUCCUAAAAAUGAGUGUCAGAAUUAGAAGGGCUGCGUUUGGUUCAGGUAUAAGUAAGAACUGCUUAAUCCAGGGAUAGAUACAAGUUCAGGUAUAAGCAGGAACUAGGCCAAUAUUGCGUUUGAAUGAAAAUUAAGUUGGUUCCUAAGAAUAAGAAAAAUAAUGUUUGGAUGGUUAGAUUGGAACAAAAAAAAUACGAGUUAUAAUUUUAAAUUAAAAUUAUUUUAUAUAAUUAAUUAACAUCAAAAUAUUACAUUAAAAUAAUAAAUUAAUAUUAAUAAUUAUAAACAAUAAAUUAAUAUUAAUNUAUAAAAUAAUAAAUUAAUUAAUUAAUAAUAAAUUAUAAAUAAUUAUAAAUAAUCAAUUAAUUGAUGAAAAAUUAAUUAGAUAAUAAAUUAUAAAUAACAAAUUACUAAUAAUUAUAAAUUAUAAAUUAAUUAAUAAUAAAUAAAUCAAUCAAUCAAUAAUAAAUAAAUAUAAAUAAUAAUUUAUUAAUAAUUAAAAAUUACAAAUUAUUUAAUUAAUAUUAAAUUAAUUAAUUAAAUAAUUAUAAAUAAUAAUAGUGAAAUAAAUAAAUUAAUAGUAAAUUAAAUAAUUAAUUAAUAGUAAAUUAAAUAAUUAGGAAUAAAUUAAUGAUAAAUUAGUUAAUUAUAAAUUAAUAAAUUAAGUAAUUAUUAAUAAGUAUAAAUAAUAAUAAUUUAAUUAAUAAUUAUAAUAAUAAAUUAUUUUAUUAUUUAAGCAUUAAAUAAUAAUUUAAAUAUAUUAAUUUAAUUAAUUAAUUAAUUAACACCAUAAUUAAGAUUAUUUUUAGACUUCAAUUAACCUUAUUCUCACUUGAUAAUAAACUUGUUCCAGGGAAAAAGUGGAACAAUAGUUUUAGCCUUAUACCGGCUUAUUCCAGAAACUCGAGAACUACUAUUCUCGGGUACCAAACGCUGCGUUUGGGAACAAAGGGAAGAACAAGGACUUAUUCCCCCCUUUGUUCCCAAACCAAAUGCUACCAAAAGGAUUCAUAUCGUGGAUCUAUGAUAUCUCUGAGGAUUUACUAAGAAUGAUUUGUCCAGCUAGUAACUACAUAGUUUGUCAAGAAGCCAAAGACCACUAUUUUAUAAUCUUUUUUCUAACCAGGCUAAAUCUGUCACUUCCAAUAGUAAUGUUUUUGAUGAUGUCAAGACCCCCUUCUCCCCUCCCUUUCCCUUUGAAAGUUAUAAAUUGGACCUAUCCUCGUCUGCAGUAAGAGACAUACAAUUAAGAUAUCACAAGCCUCAAAGUCAUAUUAAGAUGGUUUGAUCCAACUUUCAAUUGAUCUCUUAAAGAAAGUACUUGCUUUGAACGGAAACUGCACAAAAAACAUACAUUGUUAAGGUCAAAGAUAAACAUACAUAGGGAAUCAAUGAAUCUCCAUACCCCAUUCAACUUGGCUCAAACUGACAUCGUUAUGACAAUCACUUAUACUUGCAAUUACCAACAUUAUUUCAAAUAGCAAACAGCAAACUUGAAAAGCUCAAUACCCAUAGUUUAAGAAAUUGACCAUAUCAAAAGUCCAAAUCAAGUUUACAAGGUAAAACUGUAAGAAAUAUGUUUCCACCAGGUCUUUGAUUUCAGGUCACAAAUAAGAGAGAAUAACAUGUAUAAAGACCUUUCAUGACUUGCAUUAGUUUCUAUCCAAUUAAAUUUUUGAAGAAAAGGAAAGAAAAUCUUUUAAAGUUUUUCUUUAGUAAUGUUAUUAUUGGGUGACUAAUUUCAGUGAUUGAUGCUUUCUCCCACACUUUGAAUUCCUUCAAAAAGAAAUUGUCAGUUGUUGCAGGACUUAGAGCUGUUGUAGAAAUGCCUAAAUGCUAAGCUAACAUACAUAAAUUAAGAAAACCAAAUAAAAUAAGUUAGAAUCAGCAUAGGUACGUGUAACAUCAUCCACCACACGGUGAAUUUUUAAAAUUUCAUUUCAGGUGCCAAUUCCAUACUUCAAAAGAAUUUCCAUCAGAAAUAAACAAUUCAUCAUCAUAUUCAAAAGAAUGCACCUCAGAAAUGAACAGUUCAUCAUCAUAUCUUACCAGCUAUCAACAAACAAACACAAGCAAGGAGGCCCAUGAUUGCAUUCAACUUCCACUAAUCUAAAGAAAACCCAAAUAUCCAGGACGUACAGCAGCCGUAAUGAGAUAUAAACUAGAAGAGGAGUUAUUUGUCGAGGAAAAAAUUAUACAUGAGAGCCAAAGGACUAAAAACUAACAAUAGCAGUACUGCAAGGACGGUGGGGUACUAUCAGAAAAACCCUCUCUACUGAAAAAAUUAUACUCAAAACUUUUAGACACAUUAGACAUUUCAUAUUUGAUUAUCAAAGACAAUUUCGAUUUUUGAACAAAAUCUCAAACUCAUUUAAGGUGAAUCCUCUUAAACCUGAAAGUUACUUAAAACUAUGGAAAAGAGCAAGAUGGUCUGGAUUUUGAGUACUUAUCUGUAAUGCAUCAAAAACAUACAUAUCAUAGGUUGAUAUACAAAAUAAUUGUAAAUUUCAACCAACUAUUAGUACACCAUAUGCUUAUGCAUAAAAAUUUUAAUAAAUAUCUGCCUCCAUAGAAAUCAAACGAGUCUAAGUUAUGGCGCUAAUAGUUCAAUAAACUUAUAUUUUGGUCCCAAGGUUAUUCAACUUUAAUGAGAAAUAUCAUUGUUUGCAGUAUGAAAAUCAUCAAAUAUGUGAAAUUAAAUUAUCUAUGCUGCAAGGCUUUACACCUUGUUUGUUCCUCUCAUCAAGUUGCACAUGCGAUGUGCCCAAAUGUAACCUUUUUCCCUGCCUCCAUGUAAUACUGACCGGAAUAAACAUAAGUCCGAGCAAUAGCUAUCAAAACAGACUCCAAAAAAUAUGAUUGUAUUCUAUUUAAAGAGAAAGAGGGUUAUAGCAAACUACUCUAUGCAUGGCAUCCUAAAAAUAGAUUUUUCAUUCAUUCUAUGAAUAUCACGUUAAUUAUCUUAACUCAGCAUUUACUUUCUUGCAAAUGAGGAGAUCUCAACGAGACACUCCCCUGUAAUUGUAAUACAAAAUUCUCUUUUUAGCAAACAUGGUCACAAACUCAUACUAAAACAUGUUGCAUAAAGUGGUCCAAUCGUCAGCAUAACAUAUGGCCGGGUCCUCAUAUUGCAUGAAUAAGCAUUAAAAGAUGAGUAUUUAUCCAUUAUAUUUGUUAUUGAAUGAUCGAUACAAUCUAUUCAUAAAUUCCAAGUCAACAACACAUGUACUCUUAAUCAAUGAUUCAAAUCCCUCCAUAUUCCAGAUCCCAUGCAAGGGAUUCCUAAUCAGAACAUCUUUACAGAGGAAAUCCAAAACCCUAGGAAGAACCAAUCGACAACGGAUAACAAAAGCACCUAUCUAGUAAAUUCCGUCGAUUAACAAAACCCUAUAAACAGAGCAUCUUGAUCAACAAAAAGGGAGAACAAAAGAAGAAAUCCACAACUUACCCCUUGCUUACCGGGAAUGGUGCAGUUCCACACCAUGAGAUUCACGGACCCAUCGGCCAACGUCUCCGGCCUCGCCACAAAACCCUAACGAGAUUAACCAAAAAAAACACACAUCAUCAUCAUCGUCAUCUAAUCGCAAGAGGUGAAGGAGGAAUCGGGGGAAAGGGAGGAAGAAGAAGAAGUAGAAGGGGAAAUUUUACAUGGGGGUGAUUCUUGCGCCACGCUUUACGCUCCUCGGCGAGACGACCACGAGCGAUUCCCCCCGACAUUGGAGCUCUCCCCCCUCUGCUUCGCCCUUUCUCCUGCUCCUCCUCCUCCUCCUCCUCCUCCUCCUACGCUCUAUAUAAUGACUUUUGCGAAGUUCACCCCCCAAAGCGAUCUCUUUUUGCGUCGCUAUACGCUUUACAAGAAAGUAACUCUCAUUCUAGAGUUUAAACAAUUCUCUUUAAACUUUUAAUAUAAAAAAUAAUAAAAUUAAUUUGAAAAUAUUGACUAUUUAAUGAGUAGGACACAUAAGACUAUCCAGAUAAUUAGAUUGCGUUGCAUUUAAAAAAAUGAGGCUCUAUGAAACUGACGAGAAAAAAAAAAUAAAAUAAAAUAAAAUUUACACCCACUUUGGAAUGUGCAUGUAGCACUGCUUAUUUGUGAUUAUAACUAAAUCAGUUAAGUAUUUAUUUUUCACAUGUUAAAAUUUAAAAAAGUUAUAAAUAAUUAUUUAUCUGAUUAAUCUGUAAAAUAAAAGUUUUUCUUUUGUUUUGAACAAAAUUUAAAAAUUAUUUCACAAGGAGGGAUUUGGGUUUGGGCUUGGGUCCAUUUUUAUAAGGCUGUAGACAACAGAUCCAGUACCUUACUUAGCGCCCUGGUUCCUAGUAAUUAAGCCCAGAUUGCCAUUUUGGGCCUGCACCCAUGACCUGUGAGUGAAAAAUUGGCUGAAUCAAAGCUUUAGUCCCCAGCCUGGCAGAGUUUUUGUUACCAUUGUAUCUUAUUUUUUAGCUUGAUAUUAUAUUUAUUUUCUAUUUAUUUAAUUUUAUUAUCCUUUUAUACUCUUACACUAUAUAUAUACCAUAUUAGUAAUUAUAGCAAAUAUUUCAUAUACUAAUUUUUUUUUUUCUCCUAACAUCACAUGACUGAUUGAAUAAUUUUAAAUCGAUUCCUUAUGUAGUUAUUAUAUCUCUACAGUGCCAUGUGACAAUUUUUAUCUCAUUGCAAUUGACAAAUAUAUUAUAAAGCCAAACAAUGGGACACAAAUUUCGUGGACAUCCGUGCCCAAAUAUUUGUUUGGGCUAGCGGAUGCGGCCAUGGGCCCCCGCCAUGUGUGUGUGCGGCCCGCCCAUCACCUACCCGCCCUCUCUCCCUUUAUCUCUCUCUCUUUCUAAAAAACGGAGGGCCCUGAUAAUUUUUUUUUUUUUUUUCGGAAAGUGCGAUGACGCCUGCACCACCACGCGGCGCCCAUCGCCACAUCCGUGCCAAGCAAAUAGUUUUGGGCGCCGAUGUCCACGAAAUUUUUAUCCUAAACUAAUGAGUAGCUCCAAAUUUAAUGCAACUGUGCGUAUGUUUAAGCAGCACAGGUAAUUAUUCGUCACGACUAACCUUUUUUAAAGUUAUAUCGAUUUACAGGGAACGCGUAAAUUAGUAAAUAAAUGCAUCCUAUUGUCUCAGAAGAUUUUAUUUUAUUUUUAACAUUUGCCUUUUGCCAUCAGUGGCCAAUUGUCAUAAGCAAAAAAUAAAACAUACUGUAAUAAUUUUAAAAAUAUUAUUUUUUUACAUAUUAUUUAUACAUUGAUAUAUAUGAUGGUGUAAAUAUUUUAGUUGCCACAAUAGCUUAGUUUUAAAAUAUGAAAUGCGCUUACUAAUAUAGUUUAUGAUAACAAGAUUUGGUGUUAGAUAUCUGAGGUCAUAAAUUCAAAUUUUAAUUAUUUCGCAUUUCGAACUAAGUUUGUUUCUAAAAUUAAUAAACGAAAUGAAUAGCACGCUCCUUUCCUCUCUCAAAAAAAAAAAUUUGAUUUUAUCUUUGGAAGUUAUUUACAGUAAAAGAGUAAUGGGUAAUUUAAAAAUUUUGUUACUAGGAAGUUCAAUUAAUCAUCAAUUUUGAUUAACCAUUAUGCAUGAUUUCUUUUUCUUUGUUUUUGUCUCUCUCUACGGUUGCAUCACUUGUUAUCGUUAUGUUACUUUAAAUUUUGGGCAUUUUUAUAAUAUUUAAAAUUUGUUAUUCUCAUCUCAAGACAGAUAGAAAACUUGAUAAAAUUCAGUAACAUAUUUCUAACAGUUCGAAUUUUUUGAAUUAAUGAUUAGCGUUAACGAUCCGAUAUAAAAUAUUUUAUGUCGGAUCGUUAACGCUAAUCAUUAAUUCAAAAAAUUCGAACUGUUAGAAAUAUGCAAUAAAUUCACUUAAAACGUACAGAUACAGGCAUACAGCGCUCAUGGGUUCCGAUUAUGACUCGGCCUAACCAACCUCACGCUAUUUCGAACAUGAGGACUCGGCCCAAUGAGGACUCGGCCCAACAUGGCCUCCCCCCGCACAGGGUAGGAUGCUGGCCUAUUUAAAACCAACAAUCUCCCUCCAGUACCUGGACAUAUUUGCAACACGCGAGAAUCCAACCUGUGAUCUCUAACUCUGAUAUCAUUUGUCGGAUCGUUGACACUAACUAUUAAUCCCAAAAGCUCGAGUUAUCAAAAAUACACAAUAAAUUCACUUAAAACGUACAGAUACAGUGUUCACGGGUCUUGAUUUUUUUUUUUGAGAAGAUUAAAUGUAAAAAAAAGCCCAACUAAAUAAAAUACAUCUAUAUUUUCAUCUAUAUAUAUCUUUAACUAUAUUUUGUUUAUAAUCAACCAAAUAGCUUUUNUAUGUUACUUUAAAUUUUGGGCAUUUUUAUAAUAUUUAAAAUUUGUUAUUCUCAUCUCAAGACAGAUAGAAAACUUGAUAAAAUUCAGUAACAUAUUUGAUUGGAGAGAUUAAUUAAUAUAUAAAAUAUUUUAUAUCGGAUCGUUAACGCUAAUCAUUAAUUCAAAAAAUUCGAACUGUUAGAAAUAUGCAAUAAAUUCACUUAAAAUGUACAGAUACAGACAUACAGCGCUCAUGGGUUCCGAUUAUGACUCGGCCAAACCAACCUCACGCUAUUUCGAACAUGAGGACUCGGCCCAAUAAGGACUCGGCCCAACAUGGCCUCCCGCGCACAGGGUAGGAUGCUGGCCUAUUUAAAGCCAACAAUCUCCCUCCAGUACCUGGACAUAUUUGCAACACGCGAGAAUCCAACCCGUGAUCUCUAACUCUAAUAUCAUUUGUCGGAUCGUUGACACUAACCAUUAAUCCCAAAAGCUCGAGUUAUCAAAAAUACACAAUAAAUUCACUUAAAACGUACAGAUACAGUGUUCACGGGUCUUCAUUUUUUUUUUUUUUGAGAAGAUUAAAUGUAAAAAAAAG